RNAcentral lists this ribosomal RNA (253 nucleotides) under uncultured bacterium. Its description in RNAcentral is "partial 16S ribosomal RNA". It matches the Rfam family "Bacterial small subunit ribosomal RNA", at positions 524 to 776 of the family's 1533-position model. The record is from RNAcentral.
GACGAAACGAGCGAACGUUGUUCGGAAUCACUGGGCUUAAAGGGCGCGUAGGCGGGUGCUCAAGUCCGUGGUGAAAUCCUCCGGCUCAACCGGAGAACUGCCUCGGAUACUGGGCGUCUCGAGUGUGGUAGGGGUAUGCGGAACUAUCGGUGGAGCGGUGAAAUGCGUUGAUAUCGAUAGGAACUCCGGUGGCGAAGGCGGCAUACUGGACCACCACUGACGCUGAUGCGCGAAAGCCAGGGGAGCAAACGGG